This 527-nucleotide ribosomal RNA is filed under the name Chlorophyceae sp. NoB3. RNAcentral's name for it is "SSU rRNA". It matches the Rfam family "Eukaryotic small subunit ribosomal RNA", at positions 597 to 1133 of the family's 1831-position model. The record is from RNAcentral. Lineage: Eukaryota; Viridiplantae; Chlorophyta; Chlorophyceae.
GGAUAGGGUGGGUUGCAGCUUAAAAGCUCGUAGUUGGAUUUCGGGCUGUGGUUCCAGACGGUCCGCCUAUGGUGAGUACUGCUGCGGCCCUCCUUUCUGCUGGGAACAGGCUCCUGGGCUUCACUGUCCGGGACUCGGGUUCAGCGAUGAUCUUUGAGUAAAUUAGAGUGUUCAAAGCAAGCCUAUGCUCUGAAUACUUUACCAUGGAAUAUCGCGAUAGGACUCUGGCCUAUCUCGUUGGUCUGUAAGACCGGACUAAUGAUUAAAAAGGACAGUCGGGGGCAUUCGUAUUUCAUUGUCAGAGGUGAAAUUCUUGGAUUUAUGAAAGACAAACUACUGCCAAAGCAUUUGCCAAGGAUGUUUUCAUUAAUCAAGAACAAAAGUUGGGGGCUCGAAGACGAUUAUAUACCGUCGUAGUCUCAACCAUAAACGAUGCCGACUAGGGAUUGGAGGAUGUUCUUUUGAUGACUUCUCCUCCACCUUAUGAGAAAUCAAAGUUUUUGGGUUCCCGGGGGAGUAUGGGCACA